Molecule: unclassified non-coding RNA, 252 nt
Filed under: uncultured fungus
Lineage: Eukaryota; Fungi
Description: partial contains 5.8S ribosomal RNA, internal transcribed spacer 2, and large subunit ribosomal RNA
Source: RNAcentral
AACGCACAUUGCGCCCUUUGGCAUUCCGAAGGGCAUGCCUGUUCGAGCGUCAUUAUCAACCCUCAAGCUUGGCUUGGUGUUGGACUGGGGCCGUGGACGACACGGCCGGUCCCGAAGAUCAUGACGGCGUCCGGAGGACCCUUGGUACACGGAGCUUUUUUCAAGCACGUACUGCAGUGGCCGACGGACGUCGUCCGACCCCUUCUUUCUCAGGUUGACCUCGGAUCAGGUAGGAAUACCCGCUGAACUUAA